GUGGGCUAUGGGGACAUGAGGCCUGUGACAGUUGGGGGUAAAAUUGUUGGUUCCUUGUGUGCCAUCGCUGGUGUGCUUACUAUUGCUUUGCCAGUUCCUGUCAUUGUUUCCAAC
This is a non-coding RNA of Pelobates cultripes (western spadefoot toad), 114 nucleotides long. NCBI's taxonomy places the organism in Eukaryota, Metazoa, Chordata, Amphibia, Anura, Pelobatidae. The record is from the annotation of a GenBank genome assembly.